GAAAUGCGAUAAGUAAUGUGAAUUGCAGAAUUCAGUGAAUCAUCGAAUCUUUGAACGCACCUUGUGCUCCUUGGUAUUCCUUGGAGCAUGCCUGUUUGAGUAUCAUGAAAUCUUCAAAGUAAAUCUUUUGUUAACUCAAUUGGUUUCUACUUUGGUAUUGGAGGUCUUUGCAGCUUCACACCUGCUCCUCUUUGUUCAUUAGCUGGAUCUCAGUGUUAUGCUUGGUUCCACUCGGCGUGAUAAGUUAUCUAUCGCUGAGGACACUGUAAAAGGUGGCCAAGGUAAAUGCAGAUGAACCGCUUCUAAUAGUCCAUUGACUUGGACAAUACUUUUAUGAUCUGAUCUCAAAUCAGGUAGGACUACCCGCUGAACUCAAGC
This 378-nucleotide unclassified non-coding RNA is filed under the name plant metagenome. Its description in RNAcentral is "partial contains 5.8S ribosomal RNA, internal transcribed spacer 2, and large subunit ribosomal RNA". The stretch from base 1 to 105 matches the Rfam family "5.8S ribosomal RNA", at positions 50 to 154 of the family's 154-position model. The record is from RNAcentral.